UUCAUCGAUUUUUUUUAAUCCUAAUUAUUAUUAGAUAUUCUCCAUUAGAGUGUGGGGAUGAAUGUGUAGAAAAGCAGUGAUAAAAAUCUUUUUUUUUUCCAAAAUCAAAAGAGCGAUUGGGUUGAAAAAAUAAAGGAUUUCUAACCAUCUUGUUAUCCUAUAAUAAACAUAAACCGAUUUAAUUAGAUUUUCAUUAGAUGGAAAAAGAAAGGAUAAAGAGUCCGUUGAUAAGUCUUAUCUGUUUCCGGGGUAUCUAUCUAGUCUUUUCUUAAAUAUCCUGUUUUGACUGUAUCGUACUAUGUGUCAUUUAAUAACCCAAGAAAUCAAAUCCCCUAUCCCUGGUUUCAAUCUAAUUUUAAAUAAAUGGAGGAAUUAAAAGGAUAUUUAGAACUAGAUAGAUUUAGGCAACAUGACUUCCUAUACCCACUUAUCUUUCGGGAGUAUAUUUAUGCACUUGUUCAUGAUCAUGGUUUAAAUAGAUCUAUUUUGUUGGAAAAUGUAGCUUAUGAUAAUAAAUUUAGUUUACUGAUUGUAAAACGUUUAAUUACGCGAAUGUAUCAACAGAAUCAUUUGCUGAUUUCCACUAAUGAUUCUAACCAAAAUCCAUUUUUAGGAUACAACAAGAAUUUGUAUUCUCAAAUUAUAUCAGAAUAAUUUGCAGUCAUUGCGGAAAUUCCAUUUUCUUUACAAUUAAUAUCUUCCUUAGAAGGGCACAAAUCGUAAGAUCUUACAAUUUUCGAUCCAUUCAUUUAUUUCCUUUUUUAGAGGACAAAUUCCCACAUUUAAAUUAUGUGGCAGAUGUACUAAUACCUUACCCCAUCCAUCUGGAAAUCUUGAUUCAAACCCUUCGCUACCGGGUGAAAGAUGCCUCAUCUUUGCAUUUAUUGCGGUUCUUUCUUCAUGAGUAUUCGAAUUGGAAUAUUGUUAUUAUUCCAAAUAAAGCUAUUUCUUUUUUUUCAAAAAGUAAUUCAAGAUUAUUGUUAUUCUUAUAUAAUUCUCAUAUAUGUGAAUACGAAUCUAUCUUACUUUUUCUCCGUAAACAAUCUUCUCAUUUACGAUUAACAUCUUCUGGAGUCCUUUUUGAGCGAAUUUAUUUACAUAGAAAAAUAAUAAAACAUCUUGUCAAAGUCUUUGCUAAUGAUUUUCCGGGCAUGCUAUGUUUCCUGAAGGAUCCUUUCAUUCAUUAUGUUAGAUAUCAAGGAAAAUCAAUUCUGGCUUCAAAAGAUACGCCUCUUCUAAUGAAUAAAUGGAAAUACUACCUUGUCAAUUUAUGGGAAUGUCAUUUUUAUGUGUGGUUUCACUUGGAAAGAAUCUAUAUAAAUAAAUUAUCCAAGCAUUCCCUCGACUUUUUGGGUUAUUUUUCAAGUGUGCGACUAAAUACUUCAAUGGUGCGGAGUCAAAUGCUAGAAAAUUCAUUUAUAAUAAAUAAUGCUCCCAAGAAGCUCGAUACGAUAGUUUCAAUUAUUCCUCUGAUUGGAUCAUUGGCUAAAGCGAAAUUUUGUAAUGCAUUAGGGCAUCCCAUUAGUAAGCUGACUCGGGCCGAUUUAUUGGAUUUUGAUAUUCUCAAUCGAUUUCUGCGUAUAUGCAGAAAUCUUUCUCAUUAUUACAGCGGAUCCUCAAAAAAAAAAGAGUAUGUAUCGAAUAAAAUAUAUACUUCGACUUUCGUGUGUUAAAACUUUGGCUCGUAAACACAAAAGUAUUGUACGCGCUUUUUU
RNA transcript from Juglans microcarpa x Juglans regia, 1715 nucleotides. It is a transcript of the gene named maturase K-like, with no coding region annotated. The transcript has a single exon. NCBI's taxonomy places the organism in Eukaryota, Viridiplantae, Streptophyta, Magnoliopsida, Fagales, Juglandaceae. The record is from RefSeq and is a predicted model, not a curated record.